AGGGGACACUUGCUCCAUGACACACAGCACUGGGCACAGGCACGGGGAGGGGGCACAGGGUACCUCAGAGGGCUGGUCUGCAAACUGUAAUCCAGCAAGGUGCUGUGGCCAUGGGUGCUAUGAAACUGCCUGCCUGCCUUCUUGCAGCCACACCAUCUGGGCAAUAUGGGAGACAGGUGGAAGACAGCUUUAAUUAGGACUUGGCCAUAAAGCACCAGGAUGUUAUCAACAAGAUCACAUGCAAAGGGACACCUUACCCCUCUGAGCAAGAGGUGCUGGGCUGGUGCCAAGCCCAGGGAAAGCCAGCAAAGUCCCUGCGAGCAGCAGCAAAGCUGAAAGUUGUCUCGGUUUUAUCUCUUCCCACAGGAGGAAAUUGCUAGACCAAGACAGGGAUUUGUUCCUGCUUUAUGUUCGUGUUCAGCCUGGGAAGCUGAAGUCUUCCAAGGAAGCAACCAAUAAGUAAAAGCCAGCUGUCUGUUUGCAGAGAAGCAAAACUUCAAGAAAAGGUUGAACUUUUCACAAAUGGAAAAUUUGGAGCUAAAUCCAAGCAUGGUUUCAGGAAACCCUGAUAUUAGUAGAGCUUCGUUUCUUUCAGGGAACAAUGCUAAUUCCUGCAGUUCAUGAUACAGUCUCUAGCUCUAAAAUCUCUUAAUGCUGCCACAAACAAUAUUACAGUGCUCACUUGGGGUGUGUCAAAGAUUUCUACAAGCCAGACAAUAAUAGAUUGAAAACAUCAUUUACAAUAAGUAAGCAAUGUUACAUAGUAGGACUAAAGCUUGAAAGGGAAAAAUGAAGCGCAAAACUGUCUGGCACAGUGGAAAACUACAGUAUAAAUCAACUCCUGCUCUCACUUAUGAUGGAUCUCCUGCUCUCACUUAAGGCAGGCGUACAGAAAGAUGUAAAUGGGAAGCAAACAUUUAGGCCUUAAUUUACUCCUGUAGCUCCACUGACCAGAUGUAAAAUGUACUGUUGAUAUGUUCUCUGAAAAGCAGGUUACAAAAUCUGGAUGUCACAAUCUUAGCCUUCUCUUCAUGUUUUCUUGUGUUCUAAAUAGUCCUGAAAUACAAUUUCUGUAUCUUCUCUGCAGUUUUAUACUGGUCUAAAUAGACAAAUAAAGGUACGUUUAUAUAGUGGAUUUAAAUUAAAGUUACUUUGGUCAGGGUAGACUAACGGGAUCUAAAAAAUGCCUUUGCAAAUGGAAACAAACUAAAAAGCAACCAACCAAACAUUAAAAAAACAACAACAACAACAAAAAACCACACCUGCCUUUAGUUCUACUUUACAUGUUCGUUUUGCACACGCUUCAUAGCUAAAACAUUCACAUUCAUCCUGGGGACUUGUAGAUCUUUACAGAUCCCUGGCUCUCUUAACAUAUCACCACAAGGUGUUUGACUUAGCUAAAAUGGGUGAGUGUGUGAUGGCAUUACCAAGUGUUAUGAGUCAAGUCAUACACAAAGUCUUACUGAGAGUCUCAUGAUUUUUAAAUAAGCAUGUGAUUUGGAGGGGAGGCCCAAGACCCAGAAUGACUCCUAGACUGUUUGGAGUUGGCACUAUUAUAUUAAGGUGCCCAGAUAUGAAAUGAUGUAUAUUAUAAUGUAAAUCAUAAAUUUCUGAAUAAGAAUAUGGCACAUAUUUAUGUACAUGUUUGUGUGUGCCUACUAUCAUUUUGGACCUUUGACAUAAUAAUUCAUGCUCAGAAGUUUAAGUGGGAACAUGUAAUACUCAUUCAAAGGCUUUUGCUCAAACCAGUAGUUGUCAAUUACUGUGUCUGUAGUAAGCAACUGAGGGUAUCUUGGAAGCCCUCUCCUUAUCUUUGACUAACCUGUAGUUUAUGUCAGGGGCUACAGUUAGGUAACGUGACUGACAGCUCUCAUAACCCUCACCUAAGAGAUAUCAUCUCUUUAGGAAUUAAGAGUAGGCUUAGUCCUGCCAAAUCAGUUUCACUUGUGUUACGACCCAAGUUACGAUUCUGAAUGUUGUUUCCUACUGAACAGAAGGGUGGAAAAGAAGAGUAACAACAAAGUAAUGUAAUCCCUCUCUGAAUGCCUGGUUCCUGUUGGGGAACCUCCCCCCUCUGAAACUACCAGCUAUUCUGCAAAGCAGUCACAACCAGUGCCCUCUAAAACUGUCUGCUGUUCCCCAAAUUGUAACUCCUUUCUGUGAAAAGGCUUUAGGUAUGGCUAAGCCAAGCAAAAUCUGUUAAGAAUAUUAAAAGAGCAAUCCAACUACUGUGAAAGAAAAACAACAUACUUCAGUUUUGGUUCUGGAGAACUGUAGAAAUCACUUUUAGCACAUAUUGGAAAGGAGCCUGACUACACUCUGAAGUGCAAUAAAGCAAUGCAGAGCUCCUCUGCCUGAGGUUCUGCCCUCCGACUUGAAGUCCUUCACCUGAGUGUCAAGGGUGUGCACAACAUAGGGAUGAUCUGGAACUGUGGCUAAAGAUUAACUGGACUCAACAAAAGAUGAAAAAAUCUUUGGGCAAAAUAUUAACACAUCAGAUUGGCUGCAUUUUCUUCCAGAACUGUCCGCCUGUAGAACAUAGUAACCACUAUAAAACUAGAGUUUACUCUGCUUUUUUUUUUUUCUUGGACUGUAUUAAAAGUAGAUCACUAUUUCAGUCUUCAUCUCUCUGUCUUAAUGAGGAGUGGGGACAUGACGUAUGUGCAGGUUCUAAUUUAACCUAAUUAAAAAUAAGAAUAUUACCAGUGUCAGUAUGCAGCUUGAAAAGAUAAUUGCUUCAAAAAUUGUGUGUAAGAAAAAAUAAAUUGAAUUUAGAAAAUGAAAAAUGCAACACAGAAAGAUGUAUGCUUUCUAAUAGCUCCUUUUACAGUAGCUAAUUAACCUCUUAGGUUUUGAAAGCUGUUUAUGAAAUGUUCUGUCUGUAUCAAGGAGAUUUUUUAAUGUUCUUUUUAAUCAUGAAUUCUUCUGUCUUGGCUUUUCCUCUCCUUUGGAAUAUUCGGUUCUUCUUCCUUCCUUUAUCCCUUGGACCUCAGGUUUGUCUGCUCUAAAACUGAAAUAGCACCAAUAGUUUCGUUCUUCAUUGUCUAUGAAUUCUGUGAAUCUGAUGAACAGUUGCACAGUUUCUGCGACUGGUUAAUUAUUCCAAAUAAUGACUGUUAUAUAAACAGUUUUGCCUAUAAGUUCAUUGUUUUAUCUUGUAUCUAGACCUUAAACUUAGGUGCUUCUUUUCGUGUGUGUGUGUGCUUUUUUGAUAAUAUUUUCUAGAGUAAUGUGUAUACAUGUUAAAACAACAGCAACAGCAACAAAACAGGUUUUUGUAAGAGAUUUUAGUGACAGAAUAGUGACAGAAGUUUUUUUCAGGUAUCAGCAAGCAGAUUCUGUUCCUUACUCCUGAGAAGCUAAAUCCAAAGAAAGAAAGACAAGAUUUUCUUCUGAGAUGUGGUGUGACUACAGGUUCUGCUAUUUGUUUAUGUUGUUCCACCAGUUUACAUAGUCACAGCUGCUUAUUUAGUACAUAGGUAAUCCUGUAGCAAAAUAAUGUUAACACAGUCAUUCUUAUGACACUUCUGGGUCUGGUAUUAAGGAUACCAACAGAGGAGUGAGGGUAUCCCCGUGCUUCUUGGUCUUUGCCUGCCACUGAGCUCCACAGUGCCAGAAGAGUUCAGCUGCCUUAGGUGAUGACAAUAAGGAAAGAACAUUUACUGCAGGUUGUAGGUACUCAUCUAAGCACUAUGUGGUGUGCUGUAAUUGCAGGCUGCAUUAGGUCAUGCUUUGUCACAAGGCUUAUUCCAAACAGAAGUCGCUUCCAUUGGAUUGUCCUUGCAGCAGCAACGUAAAUGAACAAGCUUGGGCAGCUUUGCCAGAAAUGUCUAAAACUAAAUAAUUAGUCAACAGCCAUUCAUGCAGCAUAUGACAGAAGUGCUAUUAUUGUCAGGGAGAGUACGGAGCCUGUGAGUACAACUCACCACUCAAUCUGAACAGUUAGUUGAACAUAACACGCUUGUAAUAAUAUUUAAAGCUUAAUAUCUGAUGCGUGUAUGAGAGUCCAAAUUCACAUGACAUACAAGAAAAAAACAACGACUAGUACAUGAGAGACAUGAAUUCCUUUUAAGUUAGCUAAGGAAAUUGGCAGGUAGUUCUUAAGAACUUGAUUGUAUACAAAUCCCUUUCUGCUGCUGGAAAUCCAGCAGCAAUGUUCAAACUUUAGGCAAAAGAGCUCACAAGCUGCCUACAGACCUGUAGUCCUCAGGUAAUAAAGGAGGGGGAAAGAGCCCUCACUUAUUCCAAGUGCUCUGCAGCAUUUUGAGAAGAAAAACGAAUGUGAAUCCUAAGGAUAGUGGGCCACAGUGCUGAUACAGCAUGCCCUACAGAAGUAAGUUGGGUGCAAGGCCAUGAUGAUGCAGCUACGCUGUCAUGGGUUCCAGACACACUCCCUUUGCAGUUAGCUGAGACAGUUAGCUGGACUGUUUUCCACUGCCCAGUGUACAAAAUGCCCAAUGUUUGUAUAGCCCUUAGCAAAAUAGGACCCUAUUCUUGAUUGGCCUCAAAACAGCACAGUGAUUCUAAUUAUAAAUACCAGGGAAAUAAAUGAUCACAGAAGGCAUUUGAUGUAUUUUUUCCAGCAUGCAACAGCAGUACCAAUACGUACAAGAGCACAAUGCAAUCAGAUUCUGAUGUAUGCAAUAUAUUUUUAACACAAUGGACUUCAUCCAGACUUUUCUGGCACCAUCUUCUAUUGUCUUUCAUCACUUUGCAGUGAAGUCAUGUAGGGUACUCCAGACUUGAGGUGGCUGUGGUCUAGUGCUGAGAUUAAUGCUGAAUAAAAAUCAAGUUAGUUAGUAGAGCUUAAAUAACUGUUAGGCAAAUGAAUAUUUGUUUGUGUAAAGAAACAACUGCUGAAUAGAUGAAGUAAGUCAUUUUUGUCUCUGUCUUCCUAUAGUGUGCUGCAAAAUAAAUGCAGAUCUGAGAGAGAGACCCACUUCUGCUGCUGCCCACUCCUUUCUACUUUAAUAUUGUAAAUAAAUGAUUUGGAAAAAAACAAUAUCAUAAAAUAAUAAUAAUUAGAAUUCCACUGAUGUCCCUUUUAUGAUAAUAUAUUUGAGUUGUUCUUCAAAAAUCAAAUGAAGAAACUUCAGCCACAGUAGAGGUCUUAACCAAAAUUAAAGUCUUGUACUGAAAAUAUCAGCAUUUCUUAUGAGCUCACCUGGAGGGAGAUUAUGGGGCAACAAGUAAUGAGAUGGGUAAAGGACUGCUAUUCUUACUUCAUUUGGCCAAGAUCUACUCAACAUCUUGGAUUGUCCUCGUUUUUGUUGUGUAUUAAAAUGGUGCUAAGUGAGCUCAAGCAGGGCUUGGUGUUACAGACACUGUGAGACUGUCUCCUGGCAUUUUACAGUCAGAGGAGGAGUAGAGAGAAAGGAAUGAACUGGAGAGAACUUUUACAAUGCUCAUAAAACUGAUGUUAGAUCUGUGGGUGGCAUUUGCUGACAGCAUAGUCUGAAGGGACAAACAAACCAAAGGCAGAAGUGGUGAGGAAGGGAAAUGAAGAGAAAAAAAAGAGCAAGGAUGGAAAGAAGGAAACACAUGGUAGGCAAUGAAGUAAAGGUGAAGUGGCUGUGAAUAGCUAAUCACUGAAAAGAAAACAGUGUUGAAAGUAGAAGUACAUGGGAAAAAGCAGCACACAGAUAGAAUCAGUGAGUUGCUGAUAAUUCUUAGUCAAGCUGCUUUGGUUGCUUCACAUGCCAGCCUUGAGCUUCAGGCAGAAGAACAAUUGACUGUUACGACAGUCUGGAUUUAGUUCAAGGUGAAUUACGUGUGCAAUUUCAGGAUAAUUUAUCUUCGCCUGCCUUAAAAUCCAAAAGAAAGACACCGCCAACUUUUGUUCUAGCUUAACUAUUAAUUCUAUUGAUAAAAUUUUGUUAGUCAUCUUCAGAUUUAAAAAAAAAUCCAUGCAGUCAUAGUUAGAAUUCUAUGUAUAUAGAUACGAUUUACUAGGCACUCUUCUGACACAGGGAAAAUGAUACCAUUCCCCUAAACAUCAAAGAGAUUAAGACAGACAGCUCUUGGCAGAGGCCAACAGAAGGAGCAGCAAAGUAGGAGUAAGAUUUUUUCUCGGAUAACUGUGCCAGGAAGGAAAUCUUUCAGUGUUAAAGUUCAUAGAUUUGGUGAGCUUGCAAAGGGGGCUACAUGGGAAGAUGUUGUUUGACAUCGUAAGCCUCUUGUCUGGACCUACUAACACAUUCUCCUCCCUGGAGUUGAAGAAUCCAGGUCACCUUGUAAGUAGGCAAACUGCUGCUGCAGAAGUUUCUCCUUAGGUCGUUACAUCAGUAUCUCACCUUUUGCUUGCCAAGCUUGUUUAGUACCGCGGCAGGAGUCUUCUGAAAGAGAUUGCUGUGCAUCUUUGAGGACAAUGUUAAAAUUAAGCAAAUGAUGCCAGAGGUUUGUGUUUUGCUCUCUGCUGCCAUGAAUGAUCAGCAUGGGCAUAUGAUAAAGGGUAACCACUUAUUUGUGUGAGUGACUGAAAGCAGUUUUGCCAACGGGGAUGUUUGGAACAGCAUUUAAUCUGAAAAGAUAAUUAAUGUCUUCUUUGUUGUGCAACAGAAGCCUAUGGAAAGAGAAUCAUAUUGCAUCAUAUCUCUCAAUAACAUACAACUGGGUGGCUGAAAUUGGGUUUAACUAGACAGACAAAAAUAACUUCGGGAGGAGCAGAGAAAGGUUAUGGGUCAUGUGAUGCUGAUUUGUUUGUUUAAAGUUGACCUAUCCCUGGAGCAGAGAGUUUAAUGGGUUCCAGUAAGGACUUGCACCCAGCAUGCAGAGCUGCAAUUACUGUGGGAUGGUUCGAAGUCUGUGUGUGUGUGUGAGGCCUGGGUCAUGUCUGUUCGUGGGGGCAGCAGUAGCUUUCGCAGAGACUACAGAUCAGACUUCCUGAGCAUCCUUCCACUGCCCUGUGAUUGACAAUCAAUAAAAAGAGACAUGAGAUACACUGGGUGAAAAACAGGGCAUCUGAGAUUUCACUGAAGUUGUUCAAACUUGCAAGUAGAAAAAGAAAAGGAGUUUGUUGGCUAAGACAUUCUGAAUACUUUUCUCAUUUGUAUAAACCUGUAUGUAUAAACCUGUAAAUAAAGGUUAUGUUUCCCUUAAA
Molecule: long non-coding RNA, 7099 nt
Organism: Gallus gallus (chicken)
Lineage: Eukaryota; Metazoa; Chordata; Aves; Galliformes; Phasianidae
Source: Ensembl